GGCUGUGCGGUCUAGUGGUAUGAUUCUCGCUUAGGGUGCGAGAGGUCUCGAAUACAAUUCUCGGCAUAGCCC
RNAcentral lists this transfer RNA (72 nucleotides) under Perkinsus olseni. RNAcentral describes it as "tRNA-Pro". Lineage: Eukaryota; Perkinsozoa; Perkinsida; Perkinsidae. The record is from RNAcentral.